RNAcentral lists this ribosomal RNA (117 nucleotides) under Danio rerio (zebrafish). The record is from RNAcentral. Lineage: Eukaryota; Metazoa; Chordata; Actinopteri; Cypriniformes; Danionidae.
UGCCACAGCCAUAUCACCCUGCAGCCCAAGACCGGUUACUCACUGAAGCUAAGCAGGACAGAGCCUGGUCAGUACCUGGAUGGAAGACCACUAGGGAACACUAGGUUGCUGUUGGAA